GAUGGACAGGGUCAUCAAAGUGACCAACAUGGAUUUGACCAAACUCUGGGAGGCAGUGGAAGACAGGAGGGCCUAGCGUGCUCAGGUCCAUGGGGUCACGAAGAGUCGGACACGACUUAACGACUAAACAACAACAGCUUCCUAUCAAUAGUCAAAAAUCAGACUGGAGAAGGUCAAGAAGAGAAUUACAACAUGAAAAUUGGAGAUACCGGGCUAAUACAAGAUCCUUAAAGAGCUUACAUGCUAAUGGAAGUAGAGAAACUAACAGUAGAAGAAGAUAUGGGAUGGUGUAUCAAAUUCUAAUGGACAGUCACAGUAACAUGGGUCCUGGGGUAUCUUGAGAAAUCGUCCCCUGAUCUGAGCUGUUAGAAGCACAUUCAAGUGAGUGAUUAUAUAUGCCUUAGUUUUGGAACUGUCAAUGUAUUAUGAUAAAGAGGCAGAUCAAAUUGGGUGAAUAUUUAAUUCCCAGGUGGAGUGGGGAGAAUUUCCAUUUAGCAUCCUCUUUAAGGGCAUUUCACUCUUGUUUAAUCAGUUUUUUCCAUAAGUAGUCUUCGCCUUUCCUUGUUUAGGUUUUCUAUUUUCCAUAAGCCCAGUUUGCUUGCUUUCACAUCUAGAGCAUUGUUCCAUUUUGACCAGCAGCACUCUUGUGCUGUGGAUCUUUGACAUUUAGUAGUCAAUACUUGUAGCUGAUUGUGGCCAUCCAGAUCAAGGUUAAAAUCUUUGAGAGUACCAACUGAAUCUAUAUCACUGCAGAAGCAAUACACUGUGGGAAGGUUAAUAUUGUGCAAAGAAAGGCUAACUGGAAUUUCUCAAUUUGUUCUGUUAGACCCAAAAACCAGACCUGGAAGAGAGGCACCUGGUUGGACACUGUGAGGAAAGAAUUCAGAUCUAGAUGAGACUUUAAUCUUACUCAACUUGGUCAUUUUAUAUUCUUACCCAGACUAAUAAAGACCAUAUCAGAGGAAACA
Molecule: long non-coding RNA, 968 nt
Filed under: Pogona vitticeps (central bearded dragon)
Lineage: Eukaryota; Metazoa; Chordata; Lepidosauria; Squamata; Agamidae
Description: lncRNA (ENSPVIG00000017181.1)
Source: RNAcentral